Molecule: ribosomal RNA, 497 nt
Filed under: uncultured bacterium
Lineage: Bacteria
Description: partial 16S ribosomal RNA
Rfam family: Bacterial small subunit ribosomal RNA
Source: RNAcentral
GAUGAACGCUGGCGGCGUGCCUAAUACAUGCCAGUCGAGCGAACAGACGAGGAGCUUGCUCCUCUGACGUUAGCGGCGGACGGGUGAGUAACACGUGUAUAACCUACCUAUAAGACUGGUAUAACUUCGGGAAACCGGAGCUAAUACCGGAUAAUAUAUUGAACCGCAUGGUUCAAUAGUGAAAGACGGUUUUGCCGUCACUUCUAGAUGGAUCCGCGCCGCAUUAGCUAGUUGGUAAGGUAACGGCUUACCAAGGCAACGAUGCGUAGACGAACUGUGAGGGUGAUAGGCCACACUGGAACGGAGACACGGUCAAGACUCCUAAGGGAGGCAGCAGUAGGGAAUCUUCCGCAAUGGGCGAAAGCAUGACGGAGCAACGCCGCGUGAGUGAUGAAGGUCUUCGGAUCGUAAAACUCUGUUAUUAGGGAAGAACAAAUGUGUAAGUAACUAUGCACGUCUUGACGGUACCUAAUCAGAAAGCCACGGCUAACUACGUG